RNAcentral lists this ribosomal RNA (429 nucleotides) under Bacteroidota bacterium. Its description in RNAcentral is "Bacteroidetes bacterium partial 16S ribosomal RNA". It matches the Rfam family "Bacterial small subunit ribosomal RNA", at positions 355 to 776 of the family's 1533-position model. The record is from RNAcentral. Lineage: Bacteria; Pseudomonadati; Bacteroidota.
UAGGGAAUCUUCGGCAAUGGGGGGAACCCUGACCGAGCAACGCCGCGUGAGUGAAGAAGGUUUUCGGAUCGUAAAGCUCUGUUGUUAAGGAAGAACGAGUGUGAGAAUGGAAAGUUCAUGCUGUGACGGUACUUAACCAGAAAGGGACGGCUAACUACGUGCCAGCAGCCGCGGUACUACGUAGGUCCCGAGCGUUGUCCGGAUUUAUUGGGCGUAAAGCGAGCGCAGGCGGUUAGAAAAGUCUGAAGUGAAAGGCAGUGGCUCAACCAUUGUAGGCUUUGGAAACUGUUUAACUGGAGUGCAGAAGGGGAGAGUGGAAUUCCAGGUGUAGCGGUGAAAUGCGUAGAUAUAUGGAGGAACACCGGUGGCGAAAGCGGCUCUCUGGUCUGUAACUGACGCGGAGGCUCGAAAGCGUGGGGAGCGAACAGG